CAAAAAUUCUGAGUUCAUUCCCCCAAUAUGGACACACUGAUACCUGUUUUGUAGAUAGCUGCCUAUCUGGUCAUGAGCCAGUCCUCUCAUACCAUAUUUCUGCAAUUUAUCCAAUAGUAAGGUAUGGUCUAUGGUAUCGAAAGCAUUCUGUAAAUCAAAGAAAACUCCUACUGUGUACGGGUUAUUCUCAAUUGCAUUUGUUAUUCGUUCAACAAAGUCAAUUAAAGUCAAUGAGGUAGUUUGAUUCUUUCUGAAUCCAUACCACUUUUCACUGAGUAUGUGAUGUUUAGCUAUAAAAUCAUUUAGCCUCUUUGCAAAUACCUUUUCCAAAAUUUUUGAAAAUUGUAACAAGAGAGUGAUUGGCCUAUA
Molecule: long non-coding RNA, 369 nt
Organism: Thalassophryne amazonica
Lineage: Eukaryota; Metazoa; Chordata; Actinopteri; Batrachoidiformes; Batrachoididae
Exons: 3
Source: RefSeq, a predicted model, not a curated record